RNAcentral lists this unclassified non-coding RNA (235 nucleotides) under uncultured fungus. RNAcentral's name for it is "sequence contains ITS2". The stretch from base 1 to 52 matches the Rfam family "5.8S ribosomal RNA", at positions 103 to 154 of the family's 154-position model. The record is from RNAcentral. Lineage: Eukaryota; Fungi.
AACGCACAUUGCGCCCCUUGGUAUUCCGAGGGGCACGCCUGUUCGAGCGUCAUUUAAACCAUCAAGCCCUGCUUGGUCUUGGACGCGGUCGAGUGACCCGUCCGUAACCCGUUGGCGGUGCAGUCCGGCUUCAAGCGUAGCAAGAAUCUCGCUUCAGGAGUCCGCGGCGGCGCCUGCCAGGAAACACCACCCAAAGUUUGACCUCGGAUCAGGUGAGGAUACCCGCUGAACUUAA